Molecule: ribosomal RNA, 339 nt
Filed under: uncultured Pseudomonas sp.
Lineage: Bacteria; Pseudomonadati; Pseudomonadota; Gammaproteobacteria; Pseudomonadales; Pseudomonadaceae
Description: bacterial SSU rRNA
Rfam family: Bacterial small subunit ribosomal RNA
Source: RNAcentral
UGGCUGUCGUCAGCUCGUGUCGUGUAGAUGUUGGGUUAAGUCCGUAACGAGCGCAACCCUUGUCCUUAGUUACCAGCACGUUAUGGUGGGCGACUCUAAGGAGACUGCCGGUGGACAAACCGGAGGAAGGUGGGGAUGACGUCAAGUCAUCAUGGCCCUUACGGCCUGGGCUACACACGUGCUACAAUGGUCGGUACAAAGGGUUGCCAAGCCGCGAGGUGGAGCUAAUCCCAUAAAACCGAUCGUAGUCCGGAUCGCAGUCUGCAACUCGACUGCGUGAAGUCGGAAUCGCUAGUAAUCGUGAAUCAGAAUGUCACGGUGAAUACGUUCCCGGGCCUU